RNAcentral lists this ribosomal RNA (1487 nucleotides) under bacterium. Its description in RNAcentral is "bacterial SSU rRNA". It matches the Rfam family "Bacterial small subunit ribosomal RNA". The record is from RNAcentral.
UAACUUAAGAGUUUGAUUAUGGCUCAGAACGAACGCUGGCGGCAUGCCUCAUACAUGCAAGUCGAACGAGGUCUUCGGAUCUAGUGGCGCACGGGUGAGUAACAUGUGGGAAUCUACCUGAAGGUUCGGAAUAACUGCGGGAAACUGUAGCUAAUACCGGAUGUGUCUGCAAAGAGAAAGAUUUAUCGCCUUCAGAUGAGCCCGCACUAGAUUAGCUAGUUGGUGAGGUAAUUGCUCCACCAAGGCUACGAUCUAUAGCUGAUUUGAGAGGAUGAUCAGCCACACUGGGACUGAGACACGGCCCAGACUCCUACGGGAGGCAGCAGUAGGGAAUAUUGGACAAUGGGGGAAACCCUGAUCCAGCAAUGCCGCGUGAGUGAAGAAGGCCUUCGGGUUGUAAAGCUCUUUCAUCAAUGAUGAUAAUGACAUUAGUUGAAGAAGAAGCCCCGGCUAACUUCGUGCCAGCAGCCGCGGUAAUACGAAGGGGGCUAGCGUUGUUCGGAAUCACUGGGCGUAAAGCGUAUGUAGGCGGAUCAAAAAGUUAGAUGUGAAAUCCCUGGGCUCAACCCAGGAACUGCAUUUAAAACUAGUGAUCUAGAAUUUGGUAGGGGCCAGUAGAAUUUCCAGUGUAGAGGUGAAAUUCGUAGAUAUUGGAAAGAAUACCAGUGGCGAAGGCGACUGGCUGGGCCAUUUUUGACGCUGAGAUACGAAAGCGUGGGUAGCAAACAGGAUUAGAUACCCUGGUAGUCCACGCAGUAAACGAUGAGUGCUAGUCGCUGGGACAAUAGUUUCAGUGUCGAAGCUAACGCAUUAAGCACUCCGCCUGGGAAGUACGGUCGCAAGAUUAAAACUCAAAUAAAUUGACGGGGGCCCGCACAAGCGGUGGAGCAUGUGGUUUAAUUCGAAGCAACGCGAAGAACCUUACCAGACCUUGACAUGGUAUGUUUGAAUUACAGAAUCGUAAUUCUUCAGUUCGGCUGGCAUACACACAGGUGCUGCAUGGCUGUCGUCAGCUCGUGUCGUGAGAUGUUGGGUUAAGUCCCGCAACGAGCGCAACCCUCAUUUUUAGUUGCCAUCAGGUUAAGCUGGGCACUCUAAAAAAACUGCCGGUGAUAAGCUGGAGGAAGGCGGGGAUGACGUCAAGUCCUCAUGGCCCUUACGGUCUGGGCUACACACGUGCUACAAUGGUGGUGACAGUGGGCAGCGAUACUGCAAAGUACAGCUAAUCCCAAAAAACCAUCUCAGUUCGGAUUGGACUCUGCAACUCGAGUCCAUGAAGUUGGAAUCGCUAGUAAUCGUAGAUCAGCGUGCUACGGUGAAUACGUUCUCGGGCCUUGUACACACCGCCCGUCACGCCAUGGGAGUUGGUUUUACCUUAAGCCGGUGCGCUAACCGUAAGGAAGCAGCCGUCCACGGUAGGGUCAGCGACUGGGGCGAAGUCGUAACAAGGUAACCGUAGGGGAACCUGCGGUUGGAUCACCUCCUUU